ACCUGCGGAGGGAUCAUUACACAACAAAAUAUGAAGGCCUGGCUUUCGCGGCCGGCUGAAGUAUUUUUUUCACCCAUGUCUUUUGCGCACUUGUUGUUUCCUGGGCGGGUUCGCCCGCCACCAGGACCAAACCAUAAACCUUUUUUUCUUAUGCAGUUUCCAUCAGCGUCAGUAAAAACAAUGUAAUUAUUACAACUUUCAACAACGGAUCUCUUGGUUCUGGCAUCGAUGAAGAACGCAGCGAAAUGCGAUACGUAGUGUGAAUUGCAGAAUUCAGUGAAUCAUCGAAUCUUUGAACGCACAUUGCGCCCUUUGGUAUUCCAAAGGGCAUGCCUGUUCGAGCGUCAUUUGUACCUUCAAGCUUUGCUUGGUGUUGGGCGUUUUUUUGUCUCCCUCUUUCUGGGAGACUCGCCUUAAAACGAUUGGCAGCCGGCCUACUGGUUUCGGAGCGCAGCACAUUUUUUGCGCUUUGUAUCAGGAGAAAAGGACGGUACUCCAUCAAGACUCUACAUUUUUCACUUUUGACCUCGGAUCAGGUAGGGAUACCCGCUGAACUUAAGCAU
Molecule: ribosomal RNA, 563 nt
Filed under: Bipolaris oryzae
Lineage: Eukaryota; Fungi; Ascomycota; Dothideomycetes; Pleosporales; Pleosporaceae
Description: eukaryotic LSU rRNA
Rfam family: 5.8S ribosomal RNA (bases 194-347)
Source: RNAcentral